Molecule: ribosomal RNA, 765 nt
Filed under: uncultured bacterium
Lineage: Bacteria
Description: bacterial SSU rRNA
Rfam family: Bacterial small subunit ribosomal RNA
Source: RNAcentral
UCGGAGUGCUUGCACUCUGUGAAACAAGAUACAGGCUAGCGGCGGACGGGUGAGUAACACGUGGGUAACCUGCCCAAGAGAUCGGGAUAACACCUGGAAACAGAUGCUAAUACCGGAUAACAACAGAUGAUGCCUAUCAACUGUUUAAAAGAUGGUUCUGCUAUCACUCUUGGAUGGACCUGCGGUGCAUUAGCUAGUUGGUAGGGUAACGGCCUACCAAGGCGAUGAUGCAUAGCCGAGUUGAGAGAUUGAUCGGCCACAUUGGGACUGAGACACGGCCCAAACUCCUACGGGAGGCAGCAGUAGGGAAUCUUCCACAAUGGACGCAAGUCUGAUGGAGCAACGCCGCGUGAGUGAAGAAGGGUUUCGGCUCGUAAAGCUCUGUUGUUGGUGAAGAAGGACAGGGGUAGUAACUGACCUUUGUUUGACGGUAAUCAAUUAGAAAGUCACGGCUAACUACGUGCCAGCAGCCGCGGUAAUACGUAGGUGGCAAGCGUUGUCCGGAUUUAUUGGGCGUAAAGCGAGUGCAGGCGGCUCGAUAAGUCUGAUGUGAAAGCCUUCGGCUCAACCGGAGAAUUGCAUCAGAAACUGUCGAGCUUGAGUACAGAAGAGGAGAGUGGAACUCCAUGUGUAGCGGUGAAAUGCGUAGAUAUAUGGAAGAACACCGGUGGCGAAGGCGGCUCUCUGGUCUGUUACUGACGCUGAGGCUCGAAAGCAUGGGUAGCGAACAGGAUUAGAUACCCUGGUAGUCCAUGCCGUAAACGA